AUACUGUACUGCACAUAUUGACUUUUCAGCAAGCUGAAACUAUCUUCUGUUUACUUCAGAGUAUCUACUCAACAGUGUAAACUGAUAAAAUGUUGAAAUUCACAUUGACGUUAUUUGUGCUUGUUUCUUGUAGUGUCGACAUUUCAAAAGCUUUCGAUGUUGGAAAUGUGACAACGCUUUGACGUUUGAAGAUUGCACCAACAAAGGACAAAGUGUAGAAUGCGAUGGCGAGAAUGGCGGGUGCUUCACCGAAAUCAGAUUUAACGUGGGUUUAAUUCCACCAAUCAGACUCACAACAAGAUGCAAACAAGGCAAUGAAUGCAGCAAAAACGAAUAUCGGAAUGUAAAAGAAUGCAAGUCUAGAAACCCGAUCUGCAGAUGUUGCUGCGUGGGAGAAGAUUGUAAUAAACCGGAAUUGUGAUGUUUUCCAAGUUUGAACAAAAGAUCAACCAGGCAAAAGAAACUAUUUAAAGGAACCGGAAUCUCUACUGUUUCGAUAUGGAUCAAAUAAAUUUAUAUCUUCCAAAAAUAAAAA
Non-coding RNA from Styela clava, 535 nucleotides. The record is from RefSeq and is a predicted model, not a curated record. Lineage: Eukaryota; Metazoa; Chordata; Ascidiacea; Stolidobranchia; Styelidae.